GGUGAGAUGGCUGAGUGGUCGAAAGCACCGGUCUUGAAAACCGGCAGGGGUUUGUAGCCCCUCUAGGGUUCAAAUCCCUAUCUCACCGCCA
This 91-nucleotide transfer RNA is filed under the name Thalassotalea agarivorans. Its description in RNAcentral is "tRNA_Ser_TGA". It matches the Rfam family "tRNA". From Rfam's summary of the family: Transfer RNA (tRNA) molecules are approximately 80 nucleotides in length. Their secondary structure includes four short double-helical elements and three loops (D, anti-codon, and T loops). RNAcentral also lists the same sequence under 4 other names. The record is from RNAcentral. Lineage: Bacteria; Pseudomonadati; Pseudomonadota; Gammaproteobacteria; Alteromonadales; Colwelliaceae.